This 266-nucleotide long non-coding RNA is filed under the name Bos taurus (domestic cattle). RNAcentral's name for it is "long non-coding RNA NONBTAT011000". Lineage: Eukaryota; Metazoa; Chordata; Mammalia; Artiodactyla; Bovidae. The record is from RNAcentral.
AGUUGAUGGCAUCUAUGUCUAGGAGUAGGAGUUUUUCUUAGGUGUGUUUUUUAAAGUCAUUAUUCUUUUUUAUAUUUUUCCAAUUUUAAAUAGUGAAUAUGAGCCACUUUUAUAAUUAACAUAUACAUUUAAGAUAAAAUAGAUAAUACAGACAUACAAUUUUCCUAGUAAAAUUCCAUAAACAUUUUUUCUCAUAAUAUUGUCUUAUGAAAUAACAAAAAUCUUAAUAAUAUGAAAUGUUGAAUAAUGCUUGUUUUCAGGAAGUG